Molecule: transfer RNA, 73 nt
Filed under: Mustela putorius furo (domestic ferret)
Lineage: Eukaryota; Metazoa; Chordata; Mammalia; Carnivora; Mustelidae
Rfam family: tRNA
About the family: Transfer RNA (tRNA) molecules are approximately 80 nucleotides in length.
Source: Rfam by way of RNAcentral
GCCUGGCUGGCUCAGUCAGCAGAGCACAUGACUCUUGAUCUUGGGGUUGUAGGUUCAAGCCCCAUGUUAGGUG